This 465-nucleotide ribosomal RNA is filed under the name Vreelandella stevensii. RNAcentral's name for it is "partial 16S ribosomal RNA". It matches the Rfam family "Bacterial small subunit ribosomal RNA", at positions 338 to 795 of the family's 1533-position model. The record is from RNAcentral. Lineage: Bacteria; Pseudomonadati; Pseudomonadota; Gammaproteobacteria; Oceanospirillales; Halomonadaceae.
CCUACGGGUGGCAGCAGUGGGGAAUAUUGGACAAUGGGCGAAAGCCUGAUCCAGCCAUGCCGCGUGUGUGAAGAAGGCCUUCGGGUUGUAAAGCACUUUCAGUGGGGAAGAACGCCUUGGGGCUAAUACCCUCGAGGAAGGACAUCACCCACAGAAGAAGCACCGGCUAACUCCGUGCCAGCAGCCGCGGUAAUACGUAGGGUGCGAGCGUUAAUCGGAAUUACUGGGCGUAAAGCGCGCGUAGGCGGUCUGAUAAGCCGGUUGUGAAAGCCCCGGGCUCAACCUGGGAACGGCAUCCGGAACUGUCAGACUAGAGUGCAGGAGAGGAAGGUAGAAUUCCCUGUGUAGCGGUGAAAUGCGUAGAGAUAGGGAGGAAUACCAGUGGCGAAGGCGGCCUUCUGGACUGAAACUGACGCUGAGGUGCGAAAGCGUGGGUAGCAAACAGGAUUAGAUACCCUGGUAGUC